UUCCUGGUGGCGAGCGGCGGACGGGUGAGUAAUGCAUAGAAAUCUGCCCGGUAGUGGGGGAUAACCUGGGGAAACCCAGGCUAAUACCGCAUACGUCCUACGGGAGAAAGCAGGGGAUCUUCGGACCUUGCGCUAUCGGAUGAGUCUAUGUCGGAUUAGCUUGUUGGUGAGGUAAUGGCUCACCAAGGCGACGAUCCGUAGCUGGUCUGAGAGGAUGAUCAGCCACAUCGGGACUGAGACACGGCCCGAACUCCUACGGGAGGCAGCAGUGGGGAAUAUUGGACAAUGGGCGAAAGCCUGAUCCAGCCAUGCCGCGUGUGUGAAGAAGGCCUUCGGGUUGUAAAGCACUUUCAGUGGGGAAGAAAGCCUUGGGGCUAAUACCCUCGAGGAAGGACAUCACCCACAGAAGAAGCACCGGCUAACUCCGUGCCAGCAGCCGCGGUAAUACGGAGGGUGCGAGCGUUAAUCGGAAUUACUGGGCGUAAAGCGCGCGUAGGCGGUCUGAUAAGCCGGUUGUGAAAGCCCCGGGCUCAACCUGGGAACGGCAUCCGGAACUGUCAGGCUAGAGUGCAGGAGAGGAAGGUAGAAUUCCCGGUGUAGCGGUGAAAUGCGUAGAGAUCGGGAGGAAUACCAGUGGCGAAGGCGGCCUUCUGGACUGACACUGACGCUGAGGUGCGAAAGCGUGGGUAGCAAACAGGAUUAGAUACCCUGGUAGUCCACGCCGUAAACGAUGUCGACUAGCCGUUGGGCUCCUUGAGAGCUUUGUGGCGCAGUUAACGCGAUAAGUCGACCGCCUGGGG
RNAcentral lists this ribosomal RNA (800 nucleotides) under uncultured bacterium. RNAcentral's name for it is "bacterial SSU rRNA". It matches the Rfam family "Bacterial small subunit ribosomal RNA", at positions 82 to 878 of the family's 1533-position model. The record is from RNAcentral.